GUGUUGGAUUGGUGUGGGCUAGCCUGUGUUGGGUUGGUGUGGGCUGGCCUGUGUUGUGUUGAUGUAGACUACCCUGUGUUGGGUUGGUGUGGGCUAGCCUGUGUUGGGUUGGUGUGGGGUUGGUGUGGGCUAGCCUGUGUUGGGUUGGUGUGGGGUUGCCUGUGUUGGAUUGGUUUGGGGUUGGUGUGUGCUAGCCUGUGUGGGGUUGGUGUGGGGUUGGUGUGGGGUUGGUGUGGGCUAGCCUGUGUUGGGUUGGUGUGGGGUUGGUGUGGGCUAGCCUGUGUUGGAUUGGUUUGGGGUUGGUGUGUGCUAGCCUGUGUGGGGUUGGUGUGGGCUAGCCUGUGUUGGGUUGGUGUGGGGUUGGUGUGGUGUGGGCUAGCCUGUGUUGGAUUGGUGUGGGGUUGGUGUGGGCUAGCCUGUGUGGGGUUGGUGUGGGCUAGCCUGUGUUGGGUUGGUGUGGGGUUGGUGUGGGCUAGCCUGUGUUGGGUUGGUGUGGGGUUGGUGUGGGCUAGCCUGUGUUGGGUUGGUGUGGGGUUGGUGUGGGCUAGCCUGUGUUGGGUUGGUGUGGGGUUGGUGUGGGCUAGCCCACCUUGCCCACCGAAUACCCACAUGGGGCCAAUGGGUUCAUGUUUACUGGGGAGUCAGAGAAAGAAAAGAGAGCCUUUCCUCACAGCUAUCUACCUGAAGCUUGAAUCCACAUAUUACUCAAUGCAGGUUGGACUGGACUGAGCCAGCCCAGAGAACAUAUUGAUAAAGGGGACUUUUCUAACGCCUUCAAAGGCCUGUCUUAAUGAAUUGGAUCCAGAGUUCCAAUCAGCUCAAAACAUUUUGUUUUAAUGUCAUAUAUAGAGCUGGUCUUCAUUCUAUUUUAACAAUCUUAAGAGCUGUCAUUUUAUUGUGAGGAACUGCAGUUUUAUCGGACAUCUUUUCUGUUUUGUCCUCUGUGUGAGGGAUCCUUCAAGUUCAGUAUGAGAAGCCUUAGUCAGUAGUCACAUUAACACUGUCUAACUUUUACUCAACAGUAGUACUACUCAUUUUUAAUAACUAAAUCCUAUCUGGGCUCGGGGAGUAGCUUACUUACACUGUGUGAACCUAUGAGGCUGUGUGUGUGUAUGAACCUAUGAGGCUGUGUGUGUGUAUGAACCUAUGAGGCUGUGUGUGUGUGUGUGUGUGUGUGUGUGUGUGUGUGUGUGUGUGUGUGUGUGUGUGUGUGUGUGUGUGUGUGUGUGUGUGUGUGUGUGUGUGUGUGUGUGUGUGUGUGUGUGUGUGUGUGUGUGUGUCUGACU
This 1286-nucleotide long non-coding RNA is filed under the name Salmo salar (Atlantic salmon). Its description in RNAcentral is "lncRNA (ENSSSAG00000109301.1, ENSSSAG00000118760.1)". Lineage: Eukaryota; Metazoa; Chordata; Actinopteri; Salmoniformes; Salmonidae. The record is from RNAcentral.